Molecule: ribosomal RNA, 386 nt
Filed under: uncultured bacterium
Lineage: Bacteria
Description: bacterial SSU rRNA
Rfam family: Bacterial small subunit ribosomal RNA
Source: RNAcentral
GAUGAACGCUGGCGGCGUGCCUAAUACAUGCAAGUCGAACGAGGUGCUUUUGUAGCAAUACGAGAGUAUCCUAGUGGCGAACGGGUGAGUAACGCGUGGAUGACCUGCCCCAAAGUGUGGGAUAACAGUCCGAAAGGAUUGCUAAUACCUCAUGUGGUUAUCGGUUUUAGAAAGCGAUAACUAAAGCAGCAAUGCGCUUUGGGAGGGAUCUGCGUCCCAUCAGCUAGUUGGUGAGGUAACGGCUCACCAAGGCGACGACGGGUAGGGGACCUGAGAGGGUGGCCCCCCCANAAUGGAACUGAAACACGGUCCAUACACCGUACGGGUGGCAGCAGUAGGGAAUAUUGCUCAAUGGGCGAAAGCCUGAAGCAGCAACGCCGCGUGUG